Molecule: transfer RNA, 68 nt
Filed under: Danio rerio (zebrafish)
Lineage: Eukaryota; Metazoa; Chordata; Actinopteri; Cypriniformes; Danionidae
Rfam family: tRNA
About the family: Transfer RNA (tRNA) molecules are approximately 80 nucleotides in length. Their secondary structure includes four short double-helical elements and three loops (D, anti-codon, and T loops).
Source: Rfam by way of RNAcentral
GGGCCAGUGGCGCAAUGGAUAACUGACUACGGAUCAGAAGAUUCUAGGUUCGACUCCUGGCUGGCUCG